CGCGCGUUCGUCUAAGGUAGGACACCUGACCUUCACUCAGGAUGGCAAGAGUUCAAAUCUCUUACGCGCGACCA
RNAcentral lists this transfer RNA (74 nucleotides) under Patescibacteria group bacterium. Its description in RNAcentral is "tRNA-Glu". It matches the Rfam family "tRNA". Rfam says of the family: Transfer RNA (tRNA) molecules are approximately 80 nucleotides in length. Their secondary structure includes four short double-helical elements and three loops (D, anti-codon, and T loops). The record is from RNAcentral.